Molecule: non-coding RNA, 175 nt
Filed under: Clostridium acetireducens
Lineage: Bacteria; Bacillati; Bacillota; Clostridia; Eubacteriales; Clostridiaceae
Also listed under: 1 other name
Description: Lysine sequence
Rfam family: Lysine riboswitch aptamer
About the family: Riboswitches are metabolite binding domains within certain messenger RNAs that serve as precision sensors for their corresponding targets.
Source: RNAcentral
UGCCUAAGUAGAGGCGCUGUAAUUAAGAGUAUUUAUUUGGAGCUGGCAAGCUGUAAUAAAUAAAGAAAGGAAUUGCAGCCGAAGGAAAUUAAUUUUUGCAAGGUUAUUUCCUGGUCUUACAUAAAAUAUGUGUAAGGCUGUCACCUUAUAUUAAAGGUGGAGAGCUACAAAGGUC